RNAcentral lists this ribosomal RNA (377 nucleotides) under uncultured bacterium. Its description in RNAcentral is "bacterial SSU rRNA". It matches the Rfam family "Bacterial small subunit ribosomal RNA", at positions 790 to 1167 of the family's 1533-position model. The record is from RNAcentral.
GUAGUCCACGCCGUAAACGAUGAGUGCUAGGUGUUGGGGGGUUCCACCCUCAGUGCUGAAGUUAACACAUUAAGCACUCCGCCUGGGGAGUACGACCGCAAGGUUGAAACUCAAAGGAAUUGACGGGGGCCCGCACAAGCAGUGGAGCAUGUGGUUUAAUUCGAAGCAACGCGAAGAACCUUACCAGGUCUUGACAUCCUCUGACCACUCUAGAGAUAGAGCUUUCCCCUUCGGGGGACAGAGUGACAGGUGGUGCAUGGUUGUCGUCAGCUCGUGUCGUGAGAUGUUGGGUUAAGUCCCGCAACGAGCGCAACCCUUGACCUUAGUUGCCAGCAUUCAGUUGGGCACUCUAAGGUGACUGCCGGUGACAAACCGGA